UGCAGCUGAACCUGCUGGUGAAGGCCCCACAUCCAGGACUGAGGCUCUGGGAGAUGCUGAGGGUGUGUCUACAGGGAGGAGAUUCAUACGUACAUUGGUGGUUAUUGCCAACAAGACCAGUUUGCAUGGCAGGGUUCCUCCGAAGAGGAAGAUGCAAGACACAACAGAGAAGAUAUCCCUGGAACCAUCCAAACAGAUGAGGCAAGUGCUGAAGAAAAUGCUGCAGGGAGGACAAGG
Long non-coding RNA from Passer domesticus (house sparrow), 237 nucleotides. RefSeq lists it as uncharacterized. The record is from RefSeq and is a predicted model, not a curated record. The transcript has 3 exons. Lineage: Eukaryota; Metazoa; Chordata; Aves; Passeriformes; Passeridae.